GGAGUUGGCUGGACAGUCGCUGUAUCGCUUCGGUGAUAUGGAGGAAAGUCCGGGCUCCACAGGGCAGAGUGCCAGGUAACGCCUGGGGGGUGUGAGCCCACGGAAAGUGCAGCAGAGAGCAGACCGCCUAAGCGCGCAAGCGCCGGUAAGGGUGAAAGGGUGCGGUAAGAGCGCACCGCGCGACUGGUAACAGUUCGUGGCAUGGUAAACCCCACUCGGAGCAAGACCAAAUAGGAACCCGUUGGUGCGGCCCGCACUGGGUUCGGGUAGGUUGCUACAGGCAGUCAGUGAUGGCUGUCGCAGAGGAAUGACUGUCCUCGACAGAACCCGGCUUACAGGCCAGCUCCCAUU
RNAcentral lists this RNase P RNA (351 nucleotides) under Halopseudomonas formosensis. RNAcentral's name for it is "Pseudomonas formosensis Bacterial RNase P class A". It matches the Rfam family "Bacterial RNase P class A". Rfam says of the family: Ribonuclease P (RNase P) is a ubiquitous endoribonuclease, found in archaea, bacteria and eukarya as well as chloroplasts and mitochondria. Its best characterised activity is the generation of mature 5'-ends of tRNAs by cleaving the 5'-leader elements of precursor-tRNAs. The record is from RNAcentral. Lineage: Bacteria; Pseudomonadati; Pseudomonadota; Gammaproteobacteria; Pseudomonadales; Pseudomonadaceae. RNAcentral also lists the same sequence under 3 other names.